Aquila chrysaetos chrysaetos is the source of this 730-nucleotide long non-coding RNA. RefSeq lists it as uncharacterized. The record is from RefSeq and is a predicted model, not a curated record. The transcript is spliced from 3 exons. Lineage: Eukaryota; Metazoa; Chordata; Aves; Accipitriformes; Accipitridae.
CCCAAGUAACUGUUACACGUGAUGGAGCCCUGCUUUCCUGGAGAUGGCUGAACACCUGCCUGCCGAUGGGGAGUGGUGAAUGAAUUCCUUGUUGUGCUUUGCUUGUAUGUGCAGCCUUUGCUUUACCGGUUAAACUGUCUUUAUCUCAGCCCACGAGUUUUCUCACUCUUACCCUUCUGAUUCUCUCCCCCAUCCCACCGGGGGGGAGUGAGCGAGCAGCUGUGUGGGGCUUAGUUGCCACCUGGGGUUAAACCAUGACAUAAGGACACCCCCCCAACCCCCCCUCCAAUCUUUUGAGAGCAAGAUGACUAACUAGUUUUCUCAAAGAGACAUUCUGCAACUUUCCCUAGAUGCAAGUGUACUUCUAGAAAGCUUUGAAUUACUAAGAGGCAAACUGAUUAAAUUUAUCUUAAAUGCCCCCCUUUCUGCAGGUUAGAAAAUGGAUCCCCUGUUUUCGGUGUGUGACACAGAAUGGUUACUUUGAAAGCAGAUAUUUGGAGGCUGCCAUACACUCUUGAUUAUUCUGAGAGCCAGUGAAGAAAGAAAACAAAUAUCUACAGUAAGAGACAAGCAAGCAAUGGGAAUGACUAGAAAAGGUGAAGAGAAGUGCAGUCAGUUUUGUGGAUUUCAGCCUUUAGAAAAUAAAAAUCAAAACUGAUGAGAAUCAAACUACAGAAUAUGGGAAAAGCUGAAAGUACACUGCCUUUCUACCAAUUUCCUGACAAAUGAG